CAGAGCAGGACUGCGCUGCAGCAUUUAAAGCACAGGGAACUCAACUAGCAGCCUCUGUCUUCGACCAGCCGCACACGUGGACGGCACUUUGCCAUCCAUCCUGAAUCCAUCAGCACCAUCCUUACCCUUCAGCCUGUGACGCAGGAAAAGCAUGAAAACACAACUGCUGUGACGGACUGCAUAUUGGAACCAGUGUUAUCCUCUGCAGACUGAGAUUCGAUUCAUCAAGAGCAGAAGAUGGUCCAUAACUGAGAUUGCUAUGGUGCUGCCUUUGUAGUCUUGCUCUAUCUGUAACUGUUUUUCCAGUCAAGUGGU
Molecule: long non-coding RNA, 315 nt
Organism: Pygocentrus nattereri (red-bellied piranha)
Lineage: Eukaryota; Metazoa; Chordata; Actinopteri; Characiformes; Serrasalmidae
Exons: 3
Source: RefSeq, a predicted model, not a curated record